Molecule: ribosomal RNA, 495 nt
Filed under: uncultured bacterium
Lineage: Bacteria
Description: partial 16S ribosomal RNA
Rfam family: Bacterial small subunit ribosomal RNA
Source: RNAcentral
GACGAACGCUGGCGGCGUGCCUAAUACAUGCAAGUAGAACGCUGAAGGAGGAUCUUGCUCUUCUGGAUGAGUUGCGAACGGGUGAGUAACGCGUAGGUAACCUGCCUGGUAGCGGGGGAUAACUAUUGGAAACGAUAGCUAAUACCGCAUAACAGUAGAUGUUGCUUGACAUUUGCUUAAAAGGUGCAAUUGCACCACUACCAGAUGGACCUGCGUUGUAUUAGCUAGUUGGUGGGGUAACGGCUCACCAAGGCGAGGAUACAUAGACGACCUGAGAGGGUGAUAGGCCACGCUGGGACUGAGACACGGCCCAGACUACUACGGGAGGCAGCCGUACGGAAUCUUCGGGAAUGGACGGAAGGCAGAAUGGGAAAAGCCGCGUGAGUGAAGAAGGUGUUAGGAUCGUAAGGAUCUGUUGUAAGAGAAGAAGGAAAGUGAGAGUGAAAAGUUAACAGAGUGACGGUAUCUUAACAGAAAGGGCCGGCUAACUACGUG